Protopterus annectens (West African lungfish) is the source of this 74-nucleotide small nucleolar RNA. RefSeq annotates it as small nucleolar RNA SNORD50. Lineage: Eukaryota; Metazoa; Chordata; Ceratodontiformes; Protopteridae. The record is from RefSeq and is a predicted model, not a curated record. The transcript has a single exon.
GAUCAGUGAUGACUGUAUCCCGAUCCUGAAGGUGCAUUGUGUUGAAAACACUCCACGGAUCUGGCUACUGAGAU